This 429-nucleotide ribosomal RNA is filed under the name Chloroflexota bacterium. Its description in RNAcentral is "Chloroflexi bacterium partial 16S ribosomal RNA". It matches the Rfam family "Bacterial small subunit ribosomal RNA", at positions 355 to 776 of the family's 1533-position model. The record is from RNAcentral. Lineage: Bacteria; Bacillati; Chloroflexota.
UGGGGAAUAUUGCACAAUGGGCGCAAGCCUGAUGCAGCCAUGCCGCGUGUGUGAAGAAGGCCUUCGGGUUGUAAAGCACUUUCAGCGGGGAGGAAGGCGAUAAGGUUAAUAACCUUGUCGAUUGACGUUACUCGCAGAAGAAGCACCGGCUAACUCCGUGCCAGCAGCCGCGGUAAUACGGAGGGUGCAAGCGUUAAUCGGAAUUACUGGGCGUAAAGCGCACGCAGGCGGUCUGUCAAGUCGGAUGUGAAGUCCCCGGGCUUAACCUGGGAACUGCAUUCGAAACUGGCAGGCUAGAGGCUUGUAGAGGGGGGUAGAAUUCCAGGUGUAGCGGUGAAAUGCGUAGAGAUCUGGAGGAAUACCGGUGGCGAAGGCGGCCCCCUGGACAAAGACUGACGCUCAGGAGCGAAAGCGUGGGGAGCAAACAGG